Molecule: ribosomal RNA, 441 nt
Filed under: uncultured bacterium
Lineage: Bacteria
Description: partial 16S ribosomal RNA
Rfam family: Bacterial small subunit ribosomal RNA
Source: RNAcentral
CCUACGGGUGGCAGCAGUGGGGAAUAUUGCACAAUGGGGGGAACCCUGAUGCAGCGACGCCGCGUGGGUGAAGGAGUAUUUCGGUAUGUAAAGCCCUAUCAGCAGGGAAGAACAAUGACGGUACCGGACUAAGAAGCACCGGCUAAAUACGUGCCAGCAGCCGCGGUAAUACGUAGGGUGCAAGCGUUAUCCGGAUUUACUGGGUGUAAAGGGAGCGCAGGCGGCGCGUUAAGCCUUGUGUGAAAGCCCGGGGCCCAACCGCGGGACUGCAUUGGUUACUGGCGCGCUGGAGUGCCGGAGGGGUAGGCGGAAUUCCUAGUGUAGCGGUGAAAUGCGUAGAUAUUAGGAGGAACACCAGUGGCGAAGGCGGCCUACUGGACGGUGACUGACGCUGAGGCUCGAAAGCGUGGGGAGCAAACAGGAUUAGAUACCCCUGUAGUC